UCCGAUAUGGUGUAACGGCUAACAUUGCCGCCUUUCAACUUGAAAGAUAUCGCGGCAGCUCGGGGUUCGAUUCCCCGUAUCGGAA
This is a non-coding RNA of Amanita rubescens, 85 nucleotides long. The record is from the annotation of a GenBank genome assembly. NCBI's taxonomy places the organism in Eukaryota, Fungi, Basidiomycota, Agaricomycetes, Agaricales, Amanitaceae.